CCGUGGGCCACCCCUCCCCAACGAGGGGCUACCUAUCUGGAAGGAUAGACCAU
This is a non-coding RNA of Aquamicrobium defluvii, 53 nucleotides long. The record is from Rfam. NCBI's taxonomy places the organism in Bacteria, Pseudomonadati, Pseudomonadota, Alphaproteobacteria, Hyphomicrobiales, Phyllobacteriaceae.